This is a long non-coding RNA of Perognathus longimembris pacificus (Pacific pocket mouse), 464 nucleotides long. RefSeq lists it as uncharacterized. Lineage: Eukaryota; Metazoa; Chordata; Mammalia; Rodentia; Heteromyidae. The transcript is spliced from 3 exons. The record is from RefSeq and is a predicted model, not a curated record.
CCAUCAAAACCAUUGUCUUCUUCCCUUGGCUCCCCGAGUCUAUUCUCCUUCCCAUCAGAAGCAUCCUGGUCUUUCAUCUCACUAACUAGAAGAAUUCCCUAGACUAUCAUUCCUCCCUUGAAAACUUCCCAAGACAUCCAGAGUCCCUGCUGCUCAGUCUUCCAUAGUCAGUUUCUUUUCUAUCCUUCCUAUUUACUCUAUUUCCCAACUUCCUUCCCUGCUCUACUUCCUGAGGCAAUCAGUGCUUCCAGAAAGGCUUCCUUACUGCUUACCUAGGUGCUGGCCAUUGAGUCUUGUGUAGGCCUGCAACAUGCUCUUUCCCAGCCUUUCAGUCUGUCCUUUCAGAACUCUCCUUCAGUCCUGAUCUGUCUUUCCCACCCCUCAAGGGUCAAGUGCAUGUUCUUCUAGAGACUCCAACUCCCUCUGGGUGCAUAUAAUCCUGUGUUGAGGAUUGUAAAGAGGCA